AUUUAAAUAGCUUAUAAAUAUAAAGUAUUAUAAUGAAGAUAUAAAGAAAAUUAAAUUAAUUUUUAAAUA
This 69-nucleotide transfer RNA is filed under the name Crematogaster teranishii. RNAcentral's name for it is "tRNA-Phe". Lineage: Eukaryota; Metazoa; Arthropoda; Insecta; Hymenoptera; Formicidae. The record is from RNAcentral.